ACGAGUUUGAUCAUGGCUCAGAACGAACGCUGGCGGCAUGCCUAACACAUGCAAGUCGAACGAGACCUUCGGGUCUAGUGGCGCACGGGUGCGUAACACGUGGGAAUUUGCCUCGGGGUAUGGAAUAACUCAGGGAAACUUGAGCUAAUACCAUAUAAUGUCUUCGGACCAAAGAUUUAUCGCCCUGAGAUAAGCCCGCGUAGGAUUAGCUAGUUGGUGAGGUAAAGGCUCACCAAGGCGACGAUCCUUAGCUGGUCUGAGAGGAUGAUCAGCCACACUGGGACUGAGACACGGCCCAGACUCCUACGGGAGGCAGCAGUGGGGGAAUAUUGGACAAUGGGCGAAAGCCUGAUCCAGCAAUGCCGCGUGAGUGAUGAAGGCCUUCGGGUUGUAAAGCUCUUUUACUCGGGACGAUAAUGACGGUACCGAGAGAAUAAGCCCCGGCUAACUCCGUG
Molecule: ribosomal RNA, 455 nt
Filed under: uncultured bacterium
Lineage: Bacteria
Description: bacterial SSU rRNA
Rfam family: Bacterial small subunit ribosomal RNA
Source: RNAcentral